GACGAACGCUGGCGGCGUGCUUAACACAUGCAAGUCGAGCGGAAAGGCCCUUCGGGGUCCUCGAGCGGCGAACGGGUGAGUAACACGUGGGUAACCUGCCCCAGACUUUGGGAUAACCCUCGGAAACGGGGGCUAAUACCGGAUACGACACAGCUUCGCAUGGGGUCUGUGUGGAAAGUUUUUCGGUUUGGGAUGGGCUCGCGGCCUAUCAGCUUGUUGGUGGGGUGAUGGCCUACCAAGGCGACGACGGGUAGCCGGCCUGAGAGGGCGACCGGCCACACUGGGACUGAGACACGGCCCAGACUCCUACGGGAGGCAGCAGUGGGGAAUAUUGCACAAUGGGCGGAAGCCUGAUGCAGCGACGCCGCGUGAGGGAUGACGGCCUUCGGGUUGUAAACCUCUUUCAGCAGGGACGAAGCGUAAGUGACGGUACCUGCAGAAGAAGCGCCGGCCAAUUACGUG
RNAcentral lists this ribosomal RNA (462 nucleotides) under uncultured bacterium. RNAcentral describes it as "partial 16S ribosomal RNA". It matches the Rfam family "Bacterial small subunit ribosomal RNA", at positions 28 to 507 of the family's 1533-position model. The record is from RNAcentral.